UUCUUGCAGAUGUAACAUCUGUC
This 23-nucleotide small nuclear RNA is filed under the name Arabidopsis thaliana (thale cress). RNAcentral describes it as "snRNA_10245". Lineage: Eukaryota; Viridiplantae; Streptophyta; Magnoliopsida; Brassicales; Brassicaceae. The record is from RNAcentral.